CGCGGGGUGGAGCAGUUGGUAGCUCGCCAGGCUCAUAACCUGGAGGUCGUUGGUUCGAGUCCGGCCCCCGCAAC
Molecule: transfer RNA, 74 nt
Filed under: Candidatus Ordinivivax streblomastigis
Lineage: Bacteria; Pseudomonadati; Bacteroidota; Bacteroidia; Bacteroidales
Description: Bacteroidales bacterium St1 tRNA-Met
Rfam family: tRNA
About the family: Transfer RNA (tRNA) molecules are approximately 80 nucleotides in length. Their secondary structure includes four short double-helical elements and three loops (D, anti-codon, and T loops). Further hydrogen bonds mediate the characteristic L-shaped molecular structure. tRNAs have two regions of fundamental functional importance: the anti-codon, which is responsible for specific mRNA codon recognition, and the 3' end, to which the tRNAs corresponding amino acid is attached (by aminoacyl-tRNA synthetases). tRNAs cope with the degeneracy of the genetic code in two manners: having more than one tRNA (with a specific anti-codon) for a particular amino acid; and 'wobble' base-pairing, i.e. permitting non-standard base-pairing at the 3rd anti-codon position.
Source: RNAcentral